CUUCCCCAGCCAUAUGGAACGGGAUUCAUCAUGAAUAUCCAUAAUAUGGUUUCUAAAAAUGCAUGAAGGAAUCAGAGGAGACCUGCUAACCAUGAAAAGAAGAGCAUAGCAAUAGAGAACCAAAGUGGCACAAGAAUGAUCAUCUUUGAAUAAUUUAGAAUCAAAUAACAUCAAAUCAACAAACACUUAUUGAAGCUCUCCAUCUUUCCAUCCUUGAUUCCUGUGUUAUUCAGCAUUUUUGGUAGGUUUCCAGCAGGCAGCCUUCUCUCAAAAGUACUGUUAGGUUGUAAUGUUUGCAAGUGCUGUCUUCAGGCUCUCUUACUGCUGAUGAGUAUCAAUCACAUAAAAUUGUGUAAACUCCUGCUUCAUAAAAAAGCAAGAGGCAAAAAUCUUCCUGCUUGGCAUUUCAAUGAAGUUGAAUUCAAUGUCAUGAUAGCAGUAAAUAUAAAUUGAUUUCUAGUAUAAUAACCAAUAAGGAGACCCUAAGUUUCUCUCAGAACCCAGAUAGCAUGUAAUAAAUUCUCCAUAUCUUGACAAAUUUUUAAACAAAGUAUUUUAGCUCUUCUUCCAGCUUUCAAAAUAUGCAUUAAAACCAGAAGACAAAGACUUAAAUCCAAAUGCAGUAUCAUCAUAUGGCAAUGUCACAUAAUUGCAUGAAAAAGUUGAUUCUAAAUUAUAAAAUUCAUUAUAAAUAAAAGGUGAGAAUGCAGUGAUAUAUAGUGUAGUGGUACCAGACAACAUGAGUUGAAAUCCUAAAUUAACCGCUUAAUAGAUGCAUAACCUUGUCAUAUUUCUUAACAUAUGUGUGCUUCAUUUUCUUUGUCUGUAAAUAAGAAUAAUGGUAACUACUUUAUAGGAUAGUUGCAAAAAUUCUAUGGAUUAAUAAUGCCUGGCACAUAGUAAGCGCCAAAAAUUGUGUUUGUCAUUAUUAGUAGUAUUGCUAGUACUAUUACUCCUAUGAAUAAAAGACUCCAUGAGCAAUUAGGAAAAUAAAGUGAUGCUUACCAGGAGUCAAUAUGUAUUCAGC
RNAcentral lists this long non-coding RNA (1027 nucleotides) under Homo sapiens (human). RNAcentral's name for it is "HSALNT0108862". Lineage: Eukaryota; Metazoa; Chordata; Mammalia; Primates; Hominidae. The record is from RNAcentral.